GUGGGGAAUAUUCCGCAAUGGACGAAAGUCUGACGGAGCAACGCCGCGUGAGUGAUGAAGGUUUUCGGACUGUAAAGCUCUGUUGUUUAGGAUGAAAGUGCCUGUUGCAAAUAGUUACAGGUAUUGACGGUACUGAACGAGGAAGCCACGGCUAACUACGUGCCAGCAGCCGCGGUAAUACGUAGGUGGCAAGCGUUGUCCGGAAUUAUUGGGCGUAAAGAGCAUGUAGGCGGGAAUCUAAGUCUGUUGUGAAAAUGCGGGGCUCAACCCCGUAUUGCGAUGGAAACUGGGUUUCUUGAGUGCAGGAGAGGAAAGGGGAAUUCCCAGUGUAGCGGUGAAAUGCGUAGAUAUUGGGAGGAACACCAGUGGCGAAGGCGCCUUUCUGGACUGUGUCUGACGCUGAGAUGCGAAAGCCAGGGUAGCGAACGGGAUUAGAUACCCGGGUAGUCC
Molecule: ribosomal RNA, 450 nt
Filed under: uncultured bacterium
Lineage: Bacteria
Description: partial 16S ribosomal RNA
Rfam family: Bacterial small subunit ribosomal RNA
Source: RNAcentral